Molecule: long non-coding RNA, 1325 nt
Organism: Bos taurus (domestic cattle)
Lineage: Eukaryota; Metazoa; Chordata; Mammalia; Artiodactyla; Bovidae
Source: Ensembl
GAUUGCCCGCCUGUGUCCCAUCUGCCUCACCUGCUCUGCUCAGAUUCCUUGAGGGCAAAAACCCUGGAGUUUUCCCUUCAUGUCACCAAUACCUUUGCAGUCCAAAAACAUUUGAAUGAUUUGCAAGGGUUUAAUCAUCUACCAAGGUACUGCCUAAAGCAUAGGAAUCUGUUUUCCAGUUGCAGGUGGUCGUCGGGCCUCAGUAGAGAGAGCUGCUCACAGGAGCCGUUUGCAGAUCCUCUCUGGGGAAGAAAACCACCAAGGGGGGCUCCUGGCCCCUGAUAUCCUCCGCCUUCACGCUCUUGUCCCUGCGCUGAGAGUUGCUGUUGUUCAGUCCCUCAGUCGUGUCCGACUCUUUGCGACCCGGUGGCCUGCAGCCUGCCAGGAUCCUCUGUCCAUGGAAUUUCCCAGAUAGGUCUCAUGAUGACAAAAAAGAAAAGAAGAAAGACUCGUGGGUCAACCACGGAGGAUGCUAUGACAUAGUUAGAAAUGGGUAUUUGGUCCCUGCCCCAGCUUCUAGGCACAGAGCUCCUAAAACACUUGGAGUUUCUGGAGUAUUAGGGUAAAACAAGAGACAGCCCAGCUGAGAGUGAAGGGGCCCUGCAGCCUCAGAGCAUCACAGGGCUGCAGCCUCCAGUGAAGUCGUGGAUGUGAGCGAAGAUCAUCAGUCGCUGCAAAAGGCAUCAGGUGAAGACACGGACAGCACUUCCUCACACAUGAGUCAGCCUGGCAGGGCCCGAAGCCACUGAACAAUCCCAGUGUCGCAGAGUCGUCUGUUCCGUGCUUCCCAGCGGAAGUACAGGAGACCACUGACUGACACGGUGUCCGUGCCGGAUAAAGGAGCCUAAAGGACUGAGCCUCUGGAUGUAUCAUUUCCAGAAGAUAUAAGAGACAGAGGAGGAGGCUUUUAAACAGCCCCAGCCGGUGGUGUACAAUUACCAAAAUUCAGACUGUGGAAAAACUUACAGGGAAAAAAUGACAAAUACAUUUCGGGGGAAAGAAAGUGAGAUCGACAGAAACAGAGGAGGAAGCCAUGCUCUAGAAGAGGCGAAUAAAUUAAAUGUAAAGUGUGACCCUUUCUUGACUCUUGACUUAAACAAACUGGUCUUAAAAAAAAAUUCAAGAACUGCCAAGAAGACUCUCUUCUACAGGCAAAAACAGGCUCACAAGCCCCACCCAUUCUCUCUGACUUUUUUUUUUUUUGCAUAAAUCAUGUAAUUAAAGAGCUGCACCUUUUAUUUAAACCUUCUUGCCCAGAGUUAACACCCUUUAAACCUCAUCAAUCACUGAUUCUCAGAUGGCUGGGACUAUGAGCUUGUUUCCCA